This is a long non-coding RNA of Pecten maximus, 5277 nucleotides long. RefSeq lists it as uncharacterized. The record is from RefSeq and is a predicted model, not a curated record. The transcript has 2 exons. Lineage: Eukaryota; Metazoa; Mollusca; Bivalvia; Pectinida; Pectinidae.
CAGGUGUCAGUUAAACAAGAUGUCAGUAAAGUCAGGUGUCAGUUAAACAAGAUGUCAGUAAAGUCAGGUGUCAGUUAAACAAGAUGUCAGUAAAGUCAGGUGUCAGUUAAACAAGAUGUCACUAAAACCAGGUGUCAGUUAAACAAGAUGUCAGUAAAAUCAGGUAUCAGUUAAACAAGGUAUGAUUAAAGUCAGGUGUCAGUUAAACAAGGUGUCAGUUAAACAAGGUGUCAGUAAAGUCAGGUGUCAGUUAAACAACGUGUCAGUAAAGUCAGGUGUCAGUUAAACAAGGUGUCGAUGAAGUAUCACUAUCAUGUAUUUUGGUAACUUGAUAAGGAAUCCUUUCAGCAGUAAGAUGGGUUACAGUUUUUUGCCGACAUUCUGUAAACAAGAGUUUGCACUACUAACAAUCAUACUGUAUAAUGUUAACGUACCCUACAUGUCUCGGCUAGCUAGGGAGGCUGUUGUAGUAGCAAUUCUUAAAUUAAUCUGUCUGAUACCGACUGAUACUUUGUUUUUCAGCAAUAACACUUUUUUGUUUUCAUCUGACUUCUAUAUUUAGUGGUUUUACACCAUCUGGGUCCUUACUACAUUUAAUAGUCAUCAAUACACGAGCGUUGUUUUUCCAAUAUUAAUGUCAAUUCAAAACUUAUUUUUAUUGGUUUUCCAUCUUAUUCCCAGUCAUUUAUAUUAUAGUUAAACAAAACUUAUGUUCAAUAUGUAUAAUUCCAAAAUUAAUUAGUAGUGCUAUGUAAUUUAUUGGUGAUUGAUAUAUUUACUAUGAGGGUGGGUAACACUACAGGGAGUUAUCUCCCUUAGCUUGGGGUUAUCUCGCUAACAUUAAACCUUAUAAUGAAUGGGGCCUCUAACAAGAUAUAUUUCUGUUAGGGCUGAUUGUGUUUUACUGUAUACAUGUAUAUGUAUGACUUACAAUGUUAUAUGAGAUUUUUUCACCUAUAAAAUCAUUGUUUAUAUGUAGUAGAUCAUGUUAAAUUGAAGUUGGAUCAAAAUUGUUCUGUUUUCCUUAGAUCAAGAAUUUUAUUGCAUAAUUAAAGUUUUGUGUAGUACAGGUAGUUUAUAUAAUAACAAUCUUAUUGCUUGGUUGGGUGUGUAUCGACUAGUUUAGGAUAUAAAGAGUGAAAUUAAAGAAACACUUGAUAUGAUCAUAACAACUUGUAUUGAACAGUUUGGAAUACAUUGAUUGUAACUAGUUCCAGGUAAUCUUAAUAUGUUAUAACAACUCCAGCAUUCAUUAAUGCAAUCAGUUUUCAAAUUACAAGAAUUCCAUAUUUUCCAGUACUUAAAAUUACUUAAAAUUGCAAUGCAGAAUGUAUUGUGAAUCGAUUCGCUGAUGUUGAGAUUCACAUGCCUUACGUAAUGCUGACAAAGGUUUAUAGUAAUAUAGAUGUGUAAAAGUUCAAAAUCACUAACAGGAUUUGGUUUUACCAGAUAUAACAGGUGAACUUCUUUAGAAUAGGUGGCCUUGACGACAGGUCAGGUUUAAUAUAGCUCUGAAAAUGAUUGGUUGUCUAUUUGUUACUGUCACAGUGUAAUCUUCACAAUCCUGUGAUCUUCUACCCACUUCUAUAAAAUAAUCACAGCAGUAAAAUCCUCAUAUUAGCCAAUUCAUUUUCAUCGUUUACUCUUAAAUAUUACAUGGUUUUCACCUUAUAGCAUUUACAUUGUUUUGAAUUCAGAGAUCAGUCAUGUUGAUAGAUUAGUUACCAAUGAUUUUGUGACAAUAGAUGAGGUUCUUGUGCAGUGACAUAAGCUUGUUUAUCAGUGCCAUAUAGCACACACCUUGUUAAAGAUUGUAUUAAGGUGAUGUCAUUUGGUGAGUAGCGAUUCAGCUGGGCCCAGUUGUUCAAGAGGUGAUUAGCCUAAUCACUUGAUUAGUGAAAAUCUCAUUUCUCCUUUACUUGAAUACCUCCAUGUGUGUAUUCCUUACAAUAGAUAGGUAGGAAGAGACUGAUAAGGUUGAGUUUCAUAAAAUUAUCAAGUUAGUUUUUUCAAGAAAUGAUUUUAUCAGAAUUUUAAAAUUGUUAAAUUGGGAUUAGCCUAAUUACCUUUGAACAACUGGACCUUGGACACAAACCAUCAUAUUUCACUUUAUGGAGAACUCUAGUGGUGAAGAAUGUUUUCCCUUUAUUUGUGUAUUUUUUCCACUAUUGGUGUAGAACAAGUAAUCAUUAUUUAGAAUAAUCAAUUCAUAUAAUUUUAUUAUACAUUUUUUUUCUUUUUUUGUGAUUAGCAAUUAACAUUGCUUUAUCAUGCAGUGAUCUGCUGUUUUGAGAUUUACCUGGUAUCAGGUUUGGUACUAUUUCCAGUUGAAUAAUUGUAUAUUAUCGUUCACCAUGCGGUAUAUACCGGUAUAUCUUAAUUUGUUUAUUGUUAUUAUCCAUUUUACAUACACAUUUUGUACCGUGGUGGAUUUCUGUACUAGUAGUCGAAGCAUAAAGACUUUAUACAUGACAAUAUCGUAUCACCCCGUGGGGGAUUUCUGUUCUAGUAGUCGAAGUAUAAAGACUUUAUACAUGACAAUAUCGUACCACCCCGUGGGGGAUUUCUGUACUAGUAGUCGAAGUAUAAAGACUUUAUACACGACGAUAUCGUACCACCCCGUGGGGGAUUUCUGUACUAGUAGUCGAAGCAUAAAGACUUUAUACAUGUCGAUAUCGUACCACCCCGUGGGGGAUUUCUGUACUAGUAGUCGAAGCAUAAAGACUUUAUACAUGACGAUAUCGUACCACCCCGUGGGGGAUUUCUGUACUAGUAGUCGAAGUAUAAAGACUUUAUACACGACGAUAUUGUACCACCCCGUGGGGGAUUUCUGUACCAGUAGUCGAAGCAUAAAGACUUUAUACAUGACGAUAUCGUACCACCCUCUGGUGUGUAAAAGUUGAUGUUCAUUAAUUUAUCAUCUCUCAACUCUACAAUCAGUUGGAGCCCAAAACGUUGACACAUUACGUACUUGAAGAAAAAAAAAUCUGCUUUUUAAUGAAGAAGCCCCAUGUUUGGUCAGACCCUAAGACACGCUAGUACAUUACAGAACCUGGCCUGUUACCAUGUUUAUGCUUGCAUAGAAAAUUAUCAAAAUUUAGUAUUGACAAGAAGGAUUGGACAGCAGGCUCAGCCUAUAUUAGUUUCUGUUGAUUAACUUGUUUUGUGUGUACAUUUAAACAGUGCUUUGUCUCUACAUAUAGUCUUCGUCGGUUUUGCUUUAAUUAAUUAGAAGUCAAUUUCUCUAUAAUAUAACCUAUAAACAUCAUGAUUUAAGACUUUAAAUGAUUGAAACAAAAUAUUGGGCAAAAACACUAAUAUUUUGUGACAUUGCAUAUCUACAAAGAAAAAAAAUUGACAUAGAGAUAGAAAAACGUGUACCAUCAUUAUCAUCAUAAUAAUAGCGUGUAUCUGUCUGGGAGUGAUAGUCUGGGAGUGUGAUGUGUGUGUAUGACCUAGAUAGGUGUCUGUUAUUUACGAUAAAUAAUUUCUUUUUAUUCGUAAGACAUGAUUGGCAGUUAACCAACUGUUAUUGGUUGAAUGGAUUGGCAGUAUAUGUCUGUUUAUUGGUUAGAAAUAACUGGCUGUAUAUUAAAUGUUUAUUGGUUAGAUAAAACAGGCUGUAUAUCAAAUGUUUUUCAGUAAGAUGUGACAAGCAGUACAUUUACUGAUUAUCAUUUAUAUAUUCUGUAACUAGUGAUAAAUCUAGUAACAAAUUAUAGGUUAGGUAUAACUGGCAGUAACUAGUAACAAAUUAUAGGUUAGGUAUAACUGGCAGUAACUAGUAACAAAUUAUAGGUUAGGUAUAACUGGCAGUAACCAGUAACAAAUUAUAGGUUAGGUAUAACUGGCAGUAACUAGUAACAAAUUAUAGGUUAGGUAUAACUGGCAGUAACUAGUAACAAAUUAUAGGUUAGGUAUAACUGGCAGUAACUAGUAACAAAUUAUAGGUUAGGUAUUACUGGCAGUAAAUUUAUUGUUUAUUUCUGUUAGAUAUAACUAGUAGAAGUAAAGCAUCUAUUUAACAGUUUAAUAUGAUAAGGUAUAUGUGGAAACUUCGUAAAUGACACCUCCUUUGAAUUAGCAAUAUCACCACAGGGAGGUACCUAUAUAUAUAUAUGCAUUCACAAAAGUGACCUCUACAUAAUGGCCGAUAUUUAAUUUGGUCAUUACUCUGUGCUGAUAUUACUUAUUCAAAGGAGCUGCUAUUUAGGAAGUUUUCGCAUAUGCUUUUUAUAUUUUGUAAGUCAUGUUAUAAUAUGCUAUUGUCAAAAUAACAUUCUCUGAAAAAAAAAAUCCCAAAAAUCUGUUUUUGAUUAAUUUUGUAAAAUUAAUUUUGUUUUUUUAAAGUAUAAACAGACACACUGCCUAGUUAUGUAUGAAUGAAUUCUGUGUGUUUUGUAAAUGGUCAUACAAGGAAUGGAUGUAAAACUGUGUGUAUGCAUUUCGGCAGAAUCUUUGUAUUUAUUUAUGAAGUGUAAAUAGUGGUAUCUGUAUGGAAUCAUUAGAGGAAGUCUUUGUACAUAACUUGUUUCAACCCAUUUUAUGUAUAUAUUGCUAUUUAAUCAUAAUGAAUCUUUAUUGCUUUAACAAUGUCGAAGCUCUCUUGGGUGUCAUAUAGAAGACAGACAUUAUUCAACCUAUUAAUAGCAAUUAUUUUGUGGAGAAAUUUAUAUUACUGUAUUGUGGUUGAAAAAAAAUAUGCAACAGUAAAUCCACACAUUUCCCCUUUUAUUAUUGUUAGUUAUUGCGAACCAGCAAUAAGCCAAUGUUAGAUGAUACUGCCACACCUGAAGUUAAUAAAGAUGGCAACACAUAACAUUGCAUCGCCUUGCUAUAAACACAGCCAUUUACAAUGAGUCAAGCAUUUGUGUGUUGACCACCGCGGCUUUUUAAAGGAUAAAUAGAGGUUACACCAGACCAAAGCAUCGACAUUGUAAUUUUGUGCGGGAAGUGCAGUAAUUUUGUGCGGGAAGUGCAUCAAUUUCUUCACGGUUUGUCGGUGACAGACCAUAAUAGUUUCAAUGAUCGUGUUGGUAACAAAUUAAUCUUUACAAAGUGUCAACAUAUAUAUUACCUGUGGACAUAUUGAUACAUCAUCUGUAUUGUUGUUACAGAUUGGUUAAAAAACAUUGUCUACUCUUGGGAUUAUUUCGUUCGAUUAUUCUACGGUAUCAAUAAAUCAUGUAUAGUUAAUCAAGUGCGAAUGUAUAUAGCUGAGCGGGACACAUUGUCACAUGUAUUAUAUCUUGUAAAUAAAACCUUUGUCAUAAUCCA